CAGGCAGUAGCUCACUCGUAAAGCUUCCGGUUUAUGUGCGGAAAGGCCUGGGUUCAAUUCCCGGCUUCUUGU
This 72-nucleotide transfer RNA is filed under the name Toxocara canis (dog roundworm). It matches the Rfam family "tRNA". From Rfam's summary of the family: Transfer RNA (tRNA) molecules are approximately 80 nucleotides in length. The record is from Rfam by way of RNAcentral. Lineage: Eukaryota; Metazoa; Nematoda; Chromadorea; Rhabditida; Toxocaridae.